UAGGGGUGGCUUCCAUCUGGAAGAAUCUGGAGACAGGUGCUGCAUGGCUGUCGUCAGCUCGUGUCGUGAGAUGUUGGGUUAAGGUCCCGCAACGAGCGCAACCCUUGCCUUUAGUUGCCAGCAGUUCGGCUGGGCGACUCUAAAGGGACUGCCGGUGUUAAACCGGAGGAAGGUGGGGAGUGACGUCAAGUCCUCAUGGCCUUUAUGACCAGGGCUACACACGUACUACAAUGGCCGAUACAAAGGGCAGCGACACUGCGAGGUGAAGCCAAUCCCGUAAAAUCGGUCUCAGUCCGGAUUGGAGUCUGCAACUCGACUCCAUGAAGUUGGAAUCGCUAGUAAUCGUGGAUCAGCAUGCCACGGUGAAUACGUUCCCGGGCCUU
RNAcentral lists this ribosomal RNA (383 nucleotides) under uncultured Desulfobulbus sp. RNAcentral describes it as "bacterial SSU rRNA". It matches the Rfam family "Bacterial small subunit ribosomal RNA", at positions 1005 to 1382 of the family's 1533-position model. Lineage: Bacteria; Pseudomonadati; Thermodesulfobacteriota; Desulfobulbia; Desulfobulbales; Desulfobulbaceae. The record is from RNAcentral.